CCUACGGGAGGCAGCAGUGAGGAAUAUUGGUCAAUGGGCGUAAGCCUGAACCAGCCAAGUCGCGUGAGGGAUGAAGGUUCUAUGGAUCGUAAACCUCUUUUAUAAGGGAAUAAAGUGUGGGACGUGUCCUGUUUUGUAUGUACCUUAUGAAUAAGGAUCGACUAACUCCGUGCCAGCAGCCGCGGUAAUACGGAGGAUCCGAGCGUUAUCCGGAUUUAUUGGGUUUAAAGGGUGCGUAGGCGGCCUUUUAAGUCAGCGGUGAAAGUCUGUGGCUCAACCAUAGAAUUGCCGUUGAAACUGGGAGGCUUGAGUAUGUUUGAGGCAGGCGGAAUGCGUGGUGUAGAGGUGAAAUGCUUAGAUAUCACGCAGAACCCCGAUUGCGAAGGCAGCCUGCCAAGCCAUGACUGACGCUGAUGCACGAAAGCGCGGGGAUCAAACAGGAUUAGAUACCCUGGUAGUC
RNAcentral lists this ribosomal RNA (460 nucleotides) under uncultured bacterium. RNAcentral describes it as "partial 16S ribosomal RNA". It matches the Rfam family "Bacterial small subunit ribosomal RNA", at positions 338 to 795 of the family's 1533-position model. The record is from RNAcentral.